UACGGAGGGUGCGAGCGUUGUUCGGAAUCAUUGGGCGUGAAGCGCGUGUAGGCGGCCAGGCAAGUCGGUUGUGAAAGCCCGGGGCUCAACCCCGGAACUGCGUCCGAAACUGCUUGGCUAGAGUCCCGGAGAGGAAGGCAGAAUUCCCGGUGUAGGGGUGAAAUCCGUAGAUAUCGGGAGGAAUACCGGUGGCGAAGGCGGCCUUCUGGACGGUGACUGACGCUGAGACGCGAAAGCGUGGGGAGCAAACAGG
Molecule: unclassified non-coding RNA, 253 nt
Filed under: uncultured delta proteobacterium
Lineage: Bacteria; Deltaproteobacteria
Description: contains 16S-23S intergenic spacer region
Rfam family: Bacterial small subunit ribosomal RNA
Source: RNAcentral